Molecule: small nuclear RNA, 23 nt
Filed under: Arabidopsis thaliana (thale cress)
Lineage: Eukaryota; Viridiplantae; Streptophyta; Magnoliopsida; Brassicales; Brassicaceae
Description: snRNA_11156
Source: RNAcentral
GCUAACGCAAUGUGAUUUCUGCC